Molecule: ribosomal RNA, 253 nt
Filed under: uncultured bacterium
Lineage: Bacteria
Description: partial 16S ribosomal RNA
Rfam family: Bacterial small subunit ribosomal RNA
Source: RNAcentral
UACGGAGGGGGCAAGCGUUGUUCGGAAUUACUGGGCGUAAAGCGCACGUAGGCGGCUUUGUAAGUUAGAGGUGAAAGCCCGGAGCUCAACUCCGGAAUUGCCUUUAAGACUGCAUCGCUUGAAUCCAGGAGAGGUGAGUGGAAUUCCGAGUGUAGAGGUGAAAUUCGUAGAUAUUCGGAAGAACACCAGUGGCGAAGGCGACUUACUGGACGAUUGUUGACGCUGAGGUGCGAAAGCGUGGGGAGCAAACAGG